Lutra lutra (Eurasian river otter) is the source of this 463-nucleotide long non-coding RNA. RefSeq lists it as uncharacterized. NCBI's taxonomy places the organism in Eukaryota, Metazoa, Chordata, Mammalia, Carnivora, Mustelidae. The record is from RefSeq and is a predicted model, not a curated record. The transcript has 2 exons.
AGAGCAGUUUGUUCUGGAAUGUGAAGGGAUCGCCAGGAGAGGAGGCUGGGGUGAGCAAGGCUGUUAGUCACGGAAGGGCUCAGUGCCCAUCCCGCAGAAACUGUCUGAUCUCUCAGGCUGUCAGCUGUUGCUGGGUUCUCAUUCCCCUCCUCCUCAGCUUGGCUCUGGAACCAGGGCCUGCUGUAUGGCUGACUCCUGGGACUCUGGAUCUGACGGGCAGGUGCUUAAGUGGCUGGACACUGAGUCACUGAAGCUGAGUUCUUGGUCCUGAGAAAGAAAGGCUUAUCUUACUAGCAGCAAGGGCUUCUCCUCCCCGCAGUGAAAGGAAAGUUUCAUGUCAGGGAAGUGAAGAGAUAAAAUUUUACAACUAUAAGUCCUUGAUCAUGAUCCAAACUUUUUUCAUGCCGUCAACAGCACUUACUGUCCCUACCUGGGGAGAAGUGAAGCAUUGAAGAAGGAGGGG